This 232-nucleotide ribosomal RNA is filed under the name uncultured bacterium. Its description in RNAcentral is "partial 16S ribosomal RNA". It matches the Rfam family "Bacterial small subunit ribosomal RNA", at positions 99 to 334 of the family's 1533-position model. The record is from RNAcentral.
CGGACGGGUGAGUAAUGUCUGGGAAACUGCCCGAUGGAGGGGGGUAACUACUGGAAACGGUAGCUAAUACCGCAUAACGUCGCAAGACCAAAGCGGGGGACCUCCGGGCCUCGCGCCAUCAGAUGAACCCAUAUGGGAUUAGCUAGUAGGUAAGGUAACGGCUUACCUAGGCGACGAUCCCUAGCUGGUCUGAGAGGAUGAUCAGCCACACUGGAACUGAGACACGGCCCAG